AAUCCAUAGGUUAAUGAGGCGAACCGGGGGAACUGAAACAUCUAAGUACCCCGAGGAAAAGAAAUCAACCGAGAUUCCCCCAGUAGCGGCGAGCGAACGGGGAGGAGCCCAGAGCCUGAAUCAGCAUGUGUGUUAGUGGAAGCGUCUGGAAAGGCGCGCGAUACAGGGUGACAGCCCCGUACACAAAAGCGCAUGUGCUGUGAGCUCGAUGAGUAGGGCGGGACACGUGGUAUCCUGUCUGAAUAUGGGGGGACCAUCCUCCAAGGCUAAAUACUCCUGACUGACCGAUAGUGAACCAGUACCGUGAGGGAAAGGCGAAAAGAACCCCGGCGAGGGGAGUGAAAAAGAACCUGAAACCGUGUACGUACAAGCAGUGGGAGCCCCACCACCAAAGCAUUUGCUGUACCGCGUUGACGGAGCGAAGCGACGUCAAACCGAUAAAACAGCAGUGUAAAGUGAGCCGCAGGGCGCUUUGCGCGACAGCGCAAAGGCAGGCGGUUUCGCGUAGCGAAAGCGAAUGC
This 521-nucleotide ribosomal RNA is filed under the name Salmonella enterica. RNAcentral describes it as "partial 23S ribosomal RNA". The stretch from base 1 to 366 matches the Rfam family "Bacterial large subunit ribosomal RNA", at positions 161 to 565 of the family's 2925-position model. Lineage: Bacteria; Pseudomonadati; Pseudomonadota; Gammaproteobacteria; Enterobacterales; Enterobacteriaceae. The record is from RNAcentral. RNAcentral also lists the same sequence under 2 other names.